Molecule: ribosomal RNA, 492 nt
Filed under: uncultured bacterium
Lineage: Bacteria
Description: partial 16S ribosomal RNA
Rfam family: Bacterial small subunit ribosomal RNA
Source: RNAcentral
AGUGAACGCUGGCGAUAGGCCUAACACAUGCAAGUCGAACGGCAGCACAGUAACAGUUUGCUCUUACGGGUGGCGAGUGGCGGGCGGGAGAGGAAUACAUCGGAAAUUACUUUUUCGAGGGGGAUAACGGCGGGAAACUUACGCCAAUACCGCAUACGACCUACGGGUGAAAGCAGGGGAUCUUCCGACCUUGCGCGAUCGAAUGAGCGGAUGGCUGAUUAGGUAGUUGGCGGGGUAAAGGCCCACCAAGGCGUCGAUCCGUAGCUGGUCUGAGAGGAUGAUCAGCCACACUGGGACUGAGACACGGUCCAGACUCCUACGGGAGGCAGCAGUGGGGAAUUUUGGACAAUGGGCGCAAGCCUGAUCCAGCCAUACCGCGUGGGUGAUGAAGGCCUUCGGGUUGUAAAGCCCUUUUGUUGGGAAAGAAAAGCAGCUGGUUAAUAACGCGCUGUACUGACGGUACCGAAAGAAUAAGCACCGGCUAACUUCGUG